AGAAAAAACUUGGAGUAAAACAGGGCUGCUAACUUUGUUUUGGGUAAUUCGAUUUUAUCCUUUUUCUUAUGUUUUCAAGGCUUCCUUUUGGUUAU
RNAcentral lists this transfer RNA (95 nucleotides) under Taron dubius. RNAcentral's name for it is "tRNA-Ser". Lineage: Eukaryota; Metazoa; Mollusca; Gastropoda; Neogastropoda; Fasciolariidae. The record is from RNAcentral.